Small nucleolar RNA from Monodelphis domestica (gray short-tailed opossum), 76 nucleotides. Ensembl annotates it as small nucleolar RNA, C/D box 102. Its record names the gene SNORD102. The record is from Ensembl. Lineage: Eukaryota; Metazoa; Chordata; Mammalia; Didelphimorphia; Didelphidae.
AGCUUGAUGAUGAUUGUCUUAUAUGAUUACUUUUCUAAUGAGUAAAAUGAAAACAACUUCACCGGCUCUGAAAGCU